This 678-nucleotide long non-coding RNA is filed under the name Manihot esculenta (cassava). Its description in RNAcentral is "long non-coding RNA (MESC_LNC010488)". Lineage: Eukaryota; Viridiplantae; Streptophyta; Magnoliopsida; Malpighiales; Euphorbiaceae. The record is from RNAcentral.
UUAUUAGCAGUCUUCCUUAUUUGACAUUUAGACAGUUUUCUGAUGAUUUCUGGAUUCCAUUAUUGUGGUUACCUCAAAUUCAUACCAGCUUAUGUUGUACUUCAUACAUUAGAUUUUGUUGGAAUAAGAUGAUAGAUUUUGUUGGAAUAAGAUGAUCCAUAACAUUGAUCUAUAGCAAUAAACUGGAUUCAUGAGACAUAAAUGUGAUCUGUGAAUAGUAAAGAAAAAGUGUGCUACAGAGAGGAGGCCUUUUUUUUAUGUUUUAGUGUCCAUUAUUAUUAUUAUUAUUAUUUUCAUUUUUUUGGGGGUGGGAGAGGGGAUGCAAAUUUAUCAUUUAAAUGCACCUGCUAUGAAGAGGAAUGAGUAACCAGAACAUAAUGUGAAAAUGAUGAAUCACGAAUUUGAACUUGAAGUAUGGCUUGUGGAACCUCAUUACUCUGAGUCCUUGGUGAGCUUAUGUGACUUGUGUGCUCAAUGGUACUUAGCCUGUGCCUUUUUAUCUUCUCAUUAUUGUUAUUUUGUUGAGUAUUUACACUUUUACCCCCUCUUACAUGCUUCCUUUUGCUCCCACUGGACUAAAUGUUAAAGGGCAUAAUUCUAAUUUUAAAGAAAUUUCUAGGUCUCUAUGCUAUGAACAUGAUGAAGAAUCGACUACACAAUCGUAUGGGAGAUGAGUGG